CCGCGGCCGGGCUGGGGCGCAGGGCUAGAGCGGCGAGGGCAGACGUGAGUAAGGAAGGACUGAAAGGAGGAGAAACUAUGGGUUGCCUUUUCCUUCUGUCAUCUGUUCAGGAUUUCAUAGUAAAACCUUUGUUGAUUUAAUAAACAUAAUGGAUACUCAUUAAAAUAUUCAAACAGCAUAGAAAGGGACAAAGAAGAAAGCAGCCAGCAAUCCAAGUACCACUAUCCAGAAAUAGCCAGUGAUAUCUCUUUAUGUGUGGAAAUACAAUGAAAAUUGAGUGAGAGACAUACACAGAGGAAGAAGAAAAAGGAAGCAAUCAAACUCCAAAUGGUGCUGCAAACUGAACCCCACAUGGACGAGCCCUAGCUGCUGUUCCCCAUUCGAUGCCCCUUUUCAGCGGACCUUGCCAGGGGCAGUCCAUGAAAGUUGAAUAUGAUCUCCUUGAAACUUAGCCUCGAGGUCUACAAUUUUACCAGGUGAGAACACCUGAGAAUGAUUACCAUUAGGAGGCACUCCUGAUACAGUAAACGACCCUCCAGAGAAAUUGAUUAAGAAAACUUAGAGAACAUAAAAUAAUAGACCUACCUCUGCAAUACCUGGUAUUCGAAGACGGGCAGACCGAAUAUUUAGUUCACCUUCUUGAAAAUCUGAUGCUACUUACUCAACAAAAGUCUCAUGGAGAUAAUUGAAAGGAGGUGAUAACUGGAAGAGAGCAGAAAGGGAGCAUCUGGGAUACUGCUCUAAGAGCAGGACUGCCAUAUGAGGAUGCAGAGACUGUGCCUUGUGAAACUCCAGGGGCACCAUUCAUACAAGCCAACUGGACUCCAAGUGCCACGAGAACAGAGAUUGGGUCUGGUCCCCAGCUUCAGUGCCUCCAAGGCAGAAACUCAAGAGACGUUGUUGAACUGUCAGCCUUUACAUUUAUGCAUUACUAUUGAAGGCCUGGAAUAAAUGGAUCGUGUUUUACCUGUUAUCUUGCUCAUCUCUAUUACUGCUUCAUCAGCAGCUCUUCCCAAAGCAAUAAAAUGAACAAUGGCCCC
This 1040-nucleotide long non-coding RNA is filed under the name Homo sapiens (human). RNAcentral describes it as "long non-coding RNA NONHSAT151867.1". Lineage: Eukaryota; Metazoa; Chordata; Mammalia; Primates; Hominidae. The record is from RNAcentral.